This is a long non-coding RNA of Oreochromis niloticus (Nile tilapia), 726 nucleotides long. RefSeq lists it as uncharacterized. The record is from RefSeq and is a predicted model, not a curated record. Lineage: Eukaryota; Metazoa; Chordata; Actinopteri; Cichliformes; Cichlidae. The transcript is spliced from 2 exons.
UGAUUUGUCCUUUCGUGACGUCACCAAGAGUGGAAGGUGGGGCAGAACAAGUGAGUCUUCAGUCGUCAUCAAGGCGGUUCUUGUCGAGAGGUCUGACUUCUGCAUCCUGACGCCGUGGGUAAACCAGCACCGAAGUCUGUCCACAGCCCUCUCCAGGUAGAGGUGAGAGUCCUGGAACGUUGAAUUAGGGGUCCAGGCCGGUGGUUUAGUACUGGUCCACGACGUUGGGAUCCAGAUGACCUGAACAACCAGCAAAAGACGACUGAGGGUGAGAAAACACUUUUUGGUCUUAAACCGCCGGAAGGGUUUAGAAGAAUGCGCAAAAUAGGUUAGAAGUAGCCGGAAUUACUUCGGGAUACGCAUAAAAUAGGUUAGAAGUAGCCGGAAUUACUUCGAAAAAACACGUGAAAUAGGUUGAGUUCGCCGGAAGGAACUAAGUUUAGAUUGGUUCUAGAGGUAGCCGUCAAAUACCUCGUGACAAAUAAGGUUUAAGUUCGCCACAAGGAACUGUGUUUAGAGUGGUUUUAGAAGUGGCCGUGAAAUACUUCGUGACAAAUUGGCGCGCAAAUGUCUAUCUGUGUGUAUGUAUAUGUGUUUUAUGUAUAUGUGUUUUGAAAGUAAGUUGAUUUUACAGCACAAUACGCUGCUGAACUACUUCCAUUGUUUGUUUGUUUUUUAUUGUUUUCUUUGUCUAUCCUGCAAAAGCUCAAGUACUGGUGAUAAAGG